UGAAUCAACCUUCUUUAUUUUUAAUUUUCAAGUUUCUUUUUUCAUUUUUGCUCAUUAAAAAUCACCUUGCUCUGCAAUAAGAAAUAUAUUACCCUUGCAAGGGAAUCACCAGCUGUAAUUCCCUUUUAACAUUUAUUGCAUCACCAAAAUGGUACCACAGUCUUUUCGUCGUUUGCAACCAUUUGAGUCGGAUAGCACAUUGAGUAUAAAAAAGAUGGUGAUCCCCGUCCUAUUUAUAUCGGUGUCUUUUAUUUCUUCUGUGAGGGCACAGACUUGCCAAAUCGAUGAGUACUUCAAUGUCGGAAAGCAAAUAUGUUUUCCAUGCUCGAAAUGUGUUUUUGGACAGCAUGAAGUCAAGACAUGCAAUGAAACAGAAGAUAGACAGUGUGAGGACUGUCCAAAUAAAACCUACUACAACGGAAGGUCUUGCAUAAAUUGUUCAAGAUGUAUCAAUGGCGAGAUUAGGCCCUGUAAUGUUUCCUCAGACGCACUCUGUCUUAAGGAAAGUACACCAAAAGAAGGCUCAAAAGUUGCUGUUGCUCUUACCUUGACGUUUGUUUCUUGUGCUGUUGCGUUGGCAAUCGGUUUAGUCGCUGUCUACAUGUACAAAAGGAAACGCAGGCAAAAACCACCAAAGGAAACCCCAGAAGAAGUGCCAAUGAACGGGAUAGAAUAAUGAUAUGGCAGGAAAAUCGCUGAAAGUAUAAACAAUAGAGAACCUAGCUGGAAAGGUUUGAGGCUUUCGAUUUGUGUAAUUUAGGAGGAAGUGACACUAAGUGCAAGUCAUCAAUUCCCGUGAUAAGAAACAACAAUUUCUGAAUUUCAUCAAUUGUUUAUUAUUAAAGGCAUGGCUCGUGCAACUUCAAAUGGUGAGGCAUGGAUUUAUUAUUCAAACCUACUGAUUAUAUAUUUGCAUUAACAUAGCAUGAACUAUGUAACGAGAUGGUAUUGUUCAGCCAAAUUUUUCCUGUAAUGUUUCUAAUUAGAGCCAUGGCGUUUGUUCAAAGUACUAAGCGGCAAUGGUUGAGGGGGGGGGGGGGGGGGGGGGGGGGGGGGGGGGGGGGGGGGGGGGGGGAGUGUUGUUAGAUAGUGAAUAGAUUUUGGUGCCUCACCCUUAAGGCGACUAGAAAAAUGAUGGAGAAGCCAAUUUCUAAAAAUCAGUUUUAACUUUUAAGAAAAGAAGAUAAGAAGAUAGAUAAAAUUAAUAUUUUAGAUCAUUUUGUUACUUCUGGCUUUUUACCGAAUCAAAGCAGAAUUUUUCGAAUGACAAAACUGUUAAGGGGGUGUCGCAACCCUAAGAUUCCCGGUAAAUCCAUCCAUAUUAAACCCUUGUUGGAUCAAUCUGCAUCUAAUCUGAAUAGCGUUCAUGAAGACCUUGAUGUUCCUGUAACAUGAUAUCCUUUUAUUCCCUGUGUCUCCACUUUCCUACGCCGUUGCUUGCAUGAAACUAACCUAUGCAGGGAUCGGUAUCUACAAAAUGGAUUCUGUGAAAAUAAAGCUAGAAAACGAUUAAAUGAAAUGGCUUAGUUUGAGCGUAUAAAUCUAUUUCUUUGUCUCUUGAGUUAUGGAAUGAUUCAGGUGGUUCUUAUAGGGGUGGUUCAGGGGGCCCAUCUCUACUAUUAGCCCCUUAUUUUUAUCUAUGACCAUGACAACGAACCCUCAGAUUUUGGGACAGUUGGAGGGUCAUGAUAGCCAACCUUCUGAUAGAAGAUGGUACCUGAAGAUGAUAUUAGAGAGGGGGGCUUGUUAAGGAGAGGUGCUAAUUAAAAGUAUGCACCAGGAAUCUUGACAUAAAUCUGCAAGGUAACUAAUUGACAAAUUCAUCUAGCAGAUAUGGCCUUGAUUUUGAAGUGACUUGCACUUUGUUAUCUUCAAUGUUAAAAGAACGAGAAAGUAUUGCAAAUAAUAUCUUGUAAAUAGUUUAUACGAGUUAGAUGAUUGUUCUGUUGACCUAAGUGUCUUUUGUUGCUAUAUUUGUAGUCUGCUUUUUAGAAUUUUGUAAAUUUAUAGGUACAUUGAAUUGGUUUGUUUUAUUUAUUUAGUAAAGUAUUAUAAAGACUAUAUAUAUAAUAUUUCCAUCGAUUUGAAUUCAUUCUUGAUUUCGAUAUUGGUCCAAUCCUUUGCAUGCCCCAGUGUAGUUAGUUAACAAUCUUUGUAAAGCUAGUCUAAUUUGACCUUUAAUAUACCAUAAAAGUCAAGGGGGAAUGUGUCGCCUAUUCAAAGACUGACGAAAACAGUCUGCUAGUCAGUUUUCAGGUGGAAAUUUCCCGUCAAUCUCUUGAAAACAGAUAACUUGAUGCUUGAGCGUUGUUUCAAUUCCAAAUAAUGUUUGAAUUAUAUUUCUUCCUUUUACAUUUACGAAUAGAUAUUUUAUGCAUCAGUGUCAGUGACAUUUCCUGCAACGUUGGUUGUAAAUUUGCAGAGCCAGGCAAAAUCCUGAGUUACAACUAAGCUUCUUUUCUUGAGUCGUAUGCAAUAUGUUUUGAAUUGUAAAUCAUAUUCUUCGCAACAUCUUCGCGAAAUAGGUACCCCUCUCCCCCCUAUCAAUAUUGGAGCUCAAGCUAUAGCAUCAAAGAGCCAUUGGAACAUCUAAAAAGUUGAAUUGGAGGAAAGAGGGGGGGGGGGAGGGAGUUUCUAAAUGUUUUUUAAAAAUUCAGCCCUUUUUUCUUGGAUUUUAGCUCUCAAGCAUUUUUUGGCAAACAACAAGCCUAAGUAAAUAUGUUAUUUCAUGCAUUCAUCCCAUAUAUAUUUAGUUUAAAGCACUGGUUAGUUACACGGUUAAAGCAAGGCAAUAUGCUCCAGCCGGACCCUCAGUUUCAAAGAGCCCCAUAUUGCUAUUUCAAUCAAAAAAUAUUCUAUUCAAAUAUUGAGUAGAAACUGGUAAUUUCAUAUACGCAUUUAAUGUUGUUGUUCUUGAAUUAUUUAAAGUACAAUUAGUUUUAUAUGACAAUUUAUCAUAAAUAACACUGAGUUUUGUCGAAUAUUUCAGGAAAUUUUUCCGGUUUUACCUUGUUUUUUCUGCACUUUUGUCUGUUGGUAAAACAUAAUUGGAAAUUUUCUAAACAGCUUUAUUGGUAUAUACUGAGAGGUACCAUAAUAGAAAAAAAAACAAAACUUCUAAUGAAAGCAUGCAGUUUUUUAAGUCCUUGCAACGCCCCAGGCUUCCCAUAUCAAUGUAUUCACACGACUCUGCAGAUUUAGCAGAGUCGUUUUCAUUAAAUUACAACUUCAGCUUCUAUUUCUGUUUGCCAAUUGUUAGAGCAAGAAGGUUUCAUACACUUUCCCACGUGAUAAGAACUUAACUCGUGACCCUUCUUUGUUCUUGAUAAGAACAAAGUUUCCAUGGACACACGUUGAAAACAGCUUUUUUAAUGUAAUCUGUUUUAUACAUGAUAAAUGUUCGAAUUAUUCUUUUUAUCAUUGUCAUUAUUUGAUGUUGUUUAAAAUCUCAGAUUUCAUCCCUCAAAGAACAGAUUUCAAUCACAAAGUCACCUCAUUUCUUUUGUAUUUUGGUAGGUCAAACCCAUAAAUUGUGUGAAUCAUUUCUGACCAUUUGACAUUCAACUUGAUAUCACCAAUGACCUUCAUGAUCUCUUUUAUCAAAAACUGUCUUUAAGAAACCGAUCCCUGACAUGAUCAUUUGGAACCAACAAUUGAUUUGUGAUUCUCUUUGAGAGAUUCUGCUGGUCUCAGAUUAAAGCCAAUUUCUAGCAGACUUUUCCAAUUCAAUUUCCAGGCAAAUGUAUCCUACGUUCUAGCUAUUAAGUCACUUUAAUACCAACCAUUUAAGUACAUUGUACAAAAGCCGGCGAAAGCGGAAGGGGGCCAUGGCCUCCCUACUUUUCUACAGAGCUAAUGGAAAAUUUUAGGCAAAAAUGGAAAUAAAUGUAGUAUAUAAUUCUGUUAGUAACUGUGCUUAGUAAUCCCUUACAUAUGCCUUUAGAUUUAGCUUGGUUGCUAUGACUUUUCCAUAGAAGACAUAUAUAAAUUUGAAUAUGGGAAAUAAGAUUAAAGAAAUCGGUCACUUUCUAAGUUGUACAACGGGUAACAGCUUGGCCUAGAAAAUAGAUCGAGAAACCUGAUCCAGCACAAAUUGGUGCCAGCACAAAUUGACGGAGUUUCGUUUCUUCUAUUGCCUGAACGUGGCUCACAAGGUCUAUUUGUUAACAACAAAUUUCUCAGGAACAUUGCAAAAAGAGAGAAAUUGCUAGCGAUGUGAAAGGGAAAGAAACUGACGAAAAGAAAAUUCUUGAGCACAUGAGAAAGAAAAAAUGGGCAGAUUUCUAUAAAAGUAAAAUCUAGAAAACUUCAACACUUGAUUGUAUCGAUAAUCCAUUCCUACUAAGAAAGAAAAUCUAGACGCAAUUAUAAUUCUAUCAAAACUAUUUUUGAUUUUUGUUAAAAGCACCUUUUUCCGAAAUUUUUAAGAUCAGAUGUUACAAAACAAUAUCCCAAGUGUACAAAUUGCUUAAUUUGCUUUUAUUUUAGUUGAUAGUUAUUCUGUUUUGUUAAACUUGUACAUAUUGAUUAAACAAAGCUUAAAGAUAUUGCCUCGGAUUUUCGAUUUGUUUGACUAUACAAAAGACCUAUCCUUACGUCUAAUCGUCUAUCAUAUAACGCCUCAGCACCUAUUGCUAACCCUCCAUGGUAAACUGACGGAAACACGAGAAAAAGAUUUCCAAAAACAUAUUUUUCUCUUUUUCUGUUGUUUCUCUUACUUAUUUUUUUUAUUGAACAACCCCCCCCCCUCUUCAAAGGUAGAAAUUUUAUUGCAGAUUUGCAAUUUUAUUAGAGACCAACUUUCUGAGCAUUGGGGGCGGUUGUCCCCCUUGUCCCCCUAGCUACGCUAUUUUUAAAAUCAUAUCCCCUUUUUCACAAACGCCUUCAUAGAGCGUCAAAAUCAAAGAAUAGAUUCCCAUUGAGGUCAGGGGCGCUAUUUUGAGGUGGGGGAUGUAUUUAUAUUUUUUUAUAUCGUUAUAAUUUUUGACCGUGGGCACUUUUUCCGACGAUUUACGGUAUGUAACAUUUACAAGAUUCUAAAAAAAUUAAUUAUCUCUUUACGUAAAGUUGCAAGACAUUGCCCACAUAGGUUGAAAUAACGGGGGCUUCGGGUGUGGUGUCAACCCCUUUGAAUUCUUCCCCCAACCUCAUUAUAAACAAAAAGACUGUAGAGGACGCCUCACAAAAUACAUACAAAAUAUUAUAAUAAAACAAAGAAAAAUAGAAUAGAGCAUGUAGUCAUUUUGCCGUUCUUUCGGCCGAUUGGCGGUUUCUUUCUUUCUUUCGUCUCAUUUGCUUUUCAAUCGCUGGCUAUUCCCAGAUUUGUUUAUUCCAGCCAAUCAGGUCCGAAGACUUUUACCUGCCUCGACUUGUCAAUCCCGCCAUUGUUGGUUUUUCUGCCUUACCAUUGUCCCGCAAGGCUACACAAAAUAAUAUGCAGUUUGAUAAAUCUACGAUUUCAGUAAACUAGAUUGAUUUCAUAGCAAUUCCAAGAUCGUUUUUCAUAUCGUCAACCCGGCGAAAAUGCAAAUAUGCGGAAAAUAUCACAUGGUUGCUUUAGCAACUAAGCCAGGGUGAAUAAGUACGUUGCUGUUGCUGCAUACUCAACGGGAAUCACCACUUCCACAAAAGUUUUGCGCACACUGCAAAUUCCAUAGCCUGUGUUGAUUGUGAACGUGAUGUUACAUCGGAAAGCUGAGUUUGUUAAGUUCGCAUAUAUUCAAGCCUUGGUCUUCUUGUAUGCUGUUCACUGUGAGGAGUAUCCUUGCCCAGAUGGACAAUUUCUUAAUACGUUGAAAUACGUGUGCGAGAAAUGCAAGGUCUGCUUGCCAGGCGAAUACGUGAGCAGACCUUGUAAUAGCGUGGAUGAUGCAGAGUGUGUUCGAUGCCCAAAUGGUACAUUUUCUGCAAAACCAAACCUUCGCCAGUGCAGAAAUUGCACUACUUGCAAAGUGACGUCUUACAUAUAUCUUUGCAAUUCGACAUCAGAUGCCGUUUGCUUGUUGGAGGAGCCGGAGAAGAGCAGUAAGCAAGAUGUCUUCAGCCUGGCAUUAGGACUGAUAAUCACGAUAAUAUCUGUGGUCGUCUUAGCUUGUGCCAUAAUUUACUCCGUUAGACGCAGAAGGCGGCGAAACUGCGAGGCGUCUACUCAGGGAGAAACUGAAAUGAUGGCUAUUCCUGAGCCUGGGCCGGAAGAAGAUGCGGGGGCAUGAUGACACAAGAGGACGACCCCUUUUAUGCAAUAUCAAAUGUGGUUAAAACGUAGGUACACAUGAAUGACACACGCAAACUACCCUUUAACUACACCCAAGUCCUUUACAUUCAAUGUCUUUUCAUAUUGACGAACAAUUGUUGGUACCCAUAGAUUCUAUUGCUAGAAGCUUCCGUUAAAAAACAUCUUUAAGAAAAGAAAUGGAUUUAAUCUUAAAAAGAUUGCUCUCUUCAAGAGAAAUGUACUAAGAAUCCUCAUCUGCACUUUAAUAUCUUACAAAACUCCCCUUCAUCUACCACGGAUAUGCAUUUGUAAAUUUUUGAACGAUUAUUUUGUAACUUAUUUUGUAUGCGUAAUGUCGUUACGUUGUAUUAGAUAAAGGGGAGUUUUAUUAAGACCUUUUAGUCAUUAAUUUGGUUUGUUAUAUUUGGGGAUUCUUGUUACGUAUGUGAAUUCUUAAAUAUCUGUAGAAUUGAUUAAUGCUAAGCCGAAUUUGCAUCAGAUAGUAAUUUUAUAGAACAUUAAUUAUUCUUGGUAAGUUAAAUUGUAAAAUUGAA
Non-coding RNA from Rhopilema esculentum, 6768 nucleotides. The record is from RefSeq and is a predicted model, not a curated record. Lineage: Eukaryota; Metazoa; Cnidaria; Scyphozoa; Rhizostomeae; Rhizostomatidae.